AAAAAAGGUAAGCUACUAAGAGCGAAUGGUGGAUGCCUUGACUGGUAAAGGCGAUGAAGGACGUACUAGACUGCGAUAAGCUACGGGGAGCUGUCAAGAAGCUUUGAUCCGUAGAUUUCCGAAUGGGGCAACCCAAUGUAUAGAGAUAUACAUUACCUAUAUAGGAGCGAACGAGGGGAAUUGAAACAUCUUAGUACCCUCAGGAAAAGAAAUCAAUAGAGAUUGCGUCAGUAGCGGCGAGCGAAAGCGCAAGAGGGCAAACCCAGUGCUUGCACUGGGGGUUGUAGGACUGCAAUGUGCAAGAGGUAAGUUUAGCAGAACAUUCUGGAAAGUAUAACCAUAGAGGGUGAUAGUCCCGUAUGCGAAAAACAAACCUUAGCUAGCAGUAUCCUGAGUAGGGCGGGACACGAGGAAUCCUGUCUGAAUCCGGGUCGACCACGAUCCAACCCUAAAUACUAAUACCAGAUCGAUAGUGCACAAGUACCGUGAGGGAAAGGUGAAAAGAACUGAGGUGAUCAGAGUGAAAUAGAACCUGAAACCAUUUGCUUACAAUCAUUCAGAGCCCUAUGUAGCAAUACAGGGUGAUGGACUGCCUUUUGCAUAAUGAGCCUGCGAGUUGUGGUGUCUGGCAAGGUUAAGCAAACGCGAAGCCGUAGCGAAAGCGAGUCUGAAUAGGGCGCUUAGUCAGAUGCUGCAGACCCGAAACGAAGUGAUCUAUCCAUGAGCAAGUUGAAGCUAGUGUAAGAACUAGUGGAGGACUGAACCCAUAGGCGUUGAAAAGCCCCGGGAUGACUUGUGGAUAGGGGUGAAAGGCCAAUCAAACUUCGUGAUAGCUGGUUCUCUCCGAAAUAUAUUUAGGUAUAGCGUUGUGUCGUAAUAUAAGGGGGUAGAGCACUGAAUGGGCUAGGGCAUAUACCAAUGUACCAAACCCUAUCAAACUCCGAAUACCUUAUAUGUAAUCACAGCAGUCAGGCGGCGAGUGAUAAAAUCCGUCGUCAAGAGGGAAACAACCCAGACUACCAGCUAAGGUCCCUAAAUCUUACUUAAGUGGAAAACGAUGUGAAGUUACUUAAACAACCAGGAGGUUGGCUUAGAAGCAGCCAUCCUUUAAAGAAAGCGUAAUAGCUCACUGGUCUAGUGAUUUUGCGCGGAAAAUAUAACGGGGCUAAAGU
RNAcentral lists this ribosomal RNA (1172 nucleotides) under Campylobacter jejuni. RNAcentral's name for it is "partial 23S ribosomal RNA". It matches the Rfam family "Bacterial large subunit ribosomal RNA", at positions 1 to 1188 of the family's 2925-position model. Lineage: Bacteria; Pseudomonadati; Campylobacterota; Epsilonproteobacteria; Campylobacterales; Campylobacteraceae. The record is from RNAcentral.